CCUACGGGAGGCAGCAGUGAGGAAUAUUGGUCAAUGGGCGUAAGCCUGAACCAGCCAAGUCGCGUGAGGGAUGAAGGUUCUCUGGAUCGUAAACCUCUUUUAUCAGGGAAUAAAGUGUGGGACGUGUCCUCUUUUGUAUGUACCUUAUGAAUAAGGAUCGGCUAACUCCGUGCCAGCAGCCGCGGUAAUACGGAGGAUCCGAGCGUUAUCCGGAUUUAUUGGGUUUAAAGGGUGCGUAGGCGGCCUUUUAAGUCAGCGGUGAAAGGCCGGGGCUCAACCCUAGAAGUGCCGUUGAAACUGGGAGGCUUGAGUGGGGGCGAGGUAGGCGGAAUGCGUGGUGUAGCGGUGAAAUGCUUAGAUAUCACGCAGAACACCGAUUGCGAAGGCAGCAUGCC
RNAcentral lists this ribosomal RNA (395 nucleotides) under uncultured bacterium. RNAcentral describes it as "partial 16S ribosomal RNA". It matches the Rfam family "Bacterial small subunit ribosomal RNA", at positions 338 to 730 of the family's 1533-position model. The record is from RNAcentral.